CGCCUUCAGACGGCAGAGCUCCACGUCCUCCGUGCGGCAAAGGAUUAGUUU
Molecule: small RNA, 51 nt
Filed under: Arabidopsis thaliana (thale cress)
Lineage: Eukaryota; Viridiplantae; Streptophyta; Magnoliopsida; Brassicales; Brassicaceae
Description: ATSL229810
Source: RNAcentral